This 1931-nucleotide ribosomal RNA is filed under the name Stemonitis sp. RNAcentral's name for it is "SSU rRNA". It matches the Rfam family "Eukaryotic small subunit ribosomal RNA". The record is from RNAcentral. Lineage: Eukaryota; Evosea; Eumycetozoa; Stemonitida; Stemonitidae.
UAAGAGGAAGCAAUUCUCUCUGAAUCUGCGAACGGCUCCGCAAACCAGUUGUAAACCGAGGCAGGGUUCCCUUCCCGCGGUUCCGCUUCGGUGGGACUGCGGGUUAAUAUAUGGAUAACCGUGGUAAUUCUGAGGCUAAUACAUGACGUACAAAACCUCGCUCCGGGCUUGCCCGGGGCGGGGGGGCGUGCGACUUAAGGCUGGGGUAACAUCCAUGACAGAACGCACGCUCGGACCACCGUUAAGGGUGAAGGGCCUCGGCUCGGAUCCUGGUGGCCCCCGCAAUGUGCUUCUGACCUAUCAACUAGACGGCAGCAUAAGGGACAUGCUAUGGUGACAACGGGUACAGAGGAUUAGGGUUCGAUCCUGGAGAGUGGGCCUGAGAGAUUGCUCAUACUUCUAAGGAAGGCAGCAGGCGCGCAACGUUCCCCAUGGGCAUCGCUCGAGGGCGUUAUGGGAAAUAUGAAUGGCUGCCUUUACGGUGGCCAAUUCAAAUGGGUCUGUUGUAAAUAGGCUCUCGAGUAACAAUUAGAGGACAAGUCUGGUGCCAGCACCCGCGGUAAUUCCAGCUCUAAUAGCAUACGUUAAAGUUGUUGCGGUUAAAACGCUCGUAGUCGGCUCCAGCCCGCCUGAAGCCCGAGCCGGUGUCGUGGGUCUGUGCCCCUCACGGGGCGCGCCGCGGCGCUGGUAAGGGAAGACGGCGGGCAACUGCACCCAGUGGCGUACUCGGCUCCGGCUGAGGUUACAGGGGCCCCUCGGCAGCACCCUCGGGAUUCGUCCUAGGGAUACGCGGCCUUGGACCCGGCUCUGGCUCUGGGUGCCAAUUACCAUGACUAAACCGGCGUGAUCAAGGCAGACCGCUGCGGUUACUGUACGGCUCAGCAUGGCAUAAGGCAAGCCGAUCCGCCUCCCCCAGCGGGGCGGGUCUGGCGAGCCGCGAAAGGGGUGUUCGGGGGCAGCCGAAUUGCCGGGCGAGUGGUGAAAUACGUUGACCCUGGCAAGUCGUCCAAAAGCGAAAGCAGCUGUCAAGGGCACACCCGUUGAUCAAGAGCGAAAGUUAAGGGUUCGAAGACGAUCAGAUACCGUCGUAGUCUUAACUAUAAAUGAUACUGGCCAGGGAUAGGGCAAUGUCCAUCUCGACUCCCCCCGGACUUUUGGGAAACCAAAGCCUUUGAGUUCUGGGGGGAGUAUGGUCGCAAGGCUGAAACUUAAAGGAAUUGACGGAAGGGCACACAAAGAGUGGAACCUGCGGCUUAAUUUGACUCAACACGGGGAAACUCACCGGGUCCAGAUACAUGCAUGAAAGACAAGCUGACAGACUUUUCUCAAUUAUGUAAGUGGUGGUGCAUGGCCGUUCUUAGUUCGUGGAGUGGUUUGUCUGGUCUAUUCCGAUAACGAGCGAGACCCCAGCGUUCUAACUAGGGGCCGUAGCCAUCCGUGGUCCGGCUGCUGCCCGCAAGGGUGGUGGCUGAGCCGUGCGAAGCUGCGGCCUCAUUUGCUUUGGCUUCUUAGACGGAUCAGGGCCGAUAAGGUCCUUGAAAUGGGUUAAUAACAGGUCAGUCAUGCCCUUAGAUGUUCCGGGCCGCACGCGCGUUACAAUGGGAGGCAAAGCGAGUGUUCGUUCAGUCUGAGCUUCUCCAUUUCCGACAGGGCAUGGUAAACCCUAGGUCCUCCCUUGACUGGGAUAGACUAUUGCAAUUAUUGGUCUUCAACGAGGAAUUUUUAGUAGUCGCGGGUCAUCAACCCGCGACGAAUGCGUCCCUGCCCUUUGUACACACCGCCCGUCGCUGCUACCGAUUGGGUUCCGCGAUUACGCGUUCAGAGGUCCGGGUAACUGCCUCUUCGGAGUGUGGGACCCCGAGCCGAAGUCCGACUUAUCGCAUGGCCUAGAGGAAGCAGAAGUCGUAACAAGGUAUCGUAGGUGAACCUGC